This 278-nucleotide RNase P RNA is filed under the name Thermoprotei archaeon. RNAcentral's name for it is "RNase P RNA component". It matches the Rfam family "Archaeal RNase P". Rfam says of the family: Ribonuclease P (RNase P) is a ubiquitous endoribonuclease, found in archaea, bacteria and eukarya as well as chloroplasts and mitochondria. The record is from RNAcentral. Lineage: Archaea; Thermoproteati; Thermoproteota; Thermoprotei.
GUGACUUGGUGCGUAGGUGGGUUUUAUCCAAGGAAGGUCCUCCCUCCCGAAUAUCCGUAAGGCCGCGAGGCCUAGGCAGGAGACUGCCUCCAACCGGAACAGAAACGAUAUUCCUCUAAGAAUUGAUGAGGAUGAAGACCGUCUGACGAGUCUUAGAGGAAGUGAAACGGCCGGUUGGUACGGGGGAGAAAGACGGGGGUACCCCAAUGAUAUGAGGGGUUAUCCGUCGAUUAGAAUGAUCCUACGUAUAAACAGAAGGAGGACUACGGCCAAGUCAC